RNAcentral lists this long non-coding RNA (726 nucleotides) under Brassica rapa (field mustard). RNAcentral's name for it is "long non-coding RNA (BRAP_LNC007571)". Lineage: Eukaryota; Viridiplantae; Streptophyta; Magnoliopsida; Brassicales; Brassicaceae. The record is from RNAcentral.
AUUCGAACUUUUUUAUAAUAUUUUUUUUUGAAACUCUUUUUCGAAUUUUUUUUUAUUUUUUUCAAAAUUGUUUUUGAAAAACGAAAAUUAUGUUUAAAACUAUUUUUAAAAAAAAUUUUAUAUAUCUUUUAAGUAUUUAUUUAUAUAUUUAUUAGAAUCUUAUAUUUCACAUUUCAAAAACCUACCUCAUCCUUCAACUCUAAACUCUAAGUCUAGAUUAGUUAAUACUAAGGGUAUAAUUGUCUUUUAUUCUUUAUUAAAAGUGAGGCUAAAAAUGAUUAGUGUAAACAUGAAAAGUAAUACUAUAAAUGUACUAUUAUUGAUAAUUUCUCAAAAAACAACUGUUUAGAAGAACAAGCAAACUUUUUUUCGCCCAAAUCCACUACGUAUUUUAAACAUCUGGGCCGCAACCCAAAAAUAAAGACAGACCAAACAGAGUAAUUAGUUAUUGUACAAUUCUUUCGUUUUUUUCUUGUAAAAUAUUCCAUUAAUUAUUAUUAUACUCGUUAGGCUGAAAAAUCUUUCAACUUCAGAUAUUUUUGAUCUACCUUGUGAAUGGCUAUGCACGCUAGCACGUCUUUGGAGGUUGAUGUUACACGUAUAUAGCCUAUUGUCCCUUAAAGACUAACGUCUUUUUUUCUUUUUGAACAAAUUUAUGUACACCGCUGCGGAAAUAUUAGACACAGAAAAAGUAAGUGUUCUAACGUCGCAAGCUACCUCUUCAAA